AUUCACUGUCAUGUUCCAGACAAUGUUAAAGUGCAUCAGUGUUAUUUCUACCCAGAGAGAGACAACACAAAUCUAAAACUCUCUCCAUCAUGUCAGCUCUCAGUCACUGGUUCUGAACUGAUCAGGUGGACAGGACGAAGUUCUCCUGGAACACUUCAUAUUACUUGUUUCUACACUGUGGAUAACUCUGUUCGUAUUCCUUCUCCUCACUCUCUCCCAGCUCCAGUCACAGUGCUGAAUGAGAAACCGAGACUAAGCGUCAGUCAUGAUGGUCAGUUUGAUAAAUUCAGAUUUGUGUGUGAAAUAUCAGGGUCAGAGUCAGUAACUGCUAAUUUUAGCUGUAAUCUCUACACUGGAGAAAAUCCUCAGCUUUUCCUAAACCGAACAUCUCAAAAGGGAAACUCUGGGAAGGUUUGUAGAUUUAAAGCACAGAGAGACGCUGUGUUUAAUCUUCUGCAGUCAGUAAAGAGUCGUGAAGUGAGCUGUGAUUAUUCACUGAUCUCUGACCCGACUGCUCGCUCUCUAAUGAGUGAUAAAUACAACAUGAUGCAUUUCUUUACACCAACAUUAUCAUCAACAACAACAACAACAGCAACAACAAUAAUAACAACAAUAACGAGUGAUAAAUACAACAUGACACGUUUCUUUCCUACACCAACACAGCCGUCCAUCACUACUGAGAAAUCCACUGCAUAUGUUCCUCAGCCCCGGCUGUCCGUGUCUCCUGAAGUUCUCACAGAGAGAGGAUCAGUGCAGAUUCACUGUCAUGUUCCAGACAAUGUUAAAGUGCGUCAGUGUUAUUUCUACCCAGAGAGAGACAACACAAAUCUAAAACUCUCUCCAUCAUGUCAGCUCUCAGUCACUGGUUCUGAACUGAUCAGGUGGACAGGACGAAGUUCUCCUGGAACACUUCAUAUUACUUGUUUCUACACUGUGGAUAACUCUGUUCGUACUCCUUCUCCUCACUCUCUCCCAGCUCCAGUCACAGUGCUGAAUCAGAAACCGAGACUAAGCGUCAGUCAUGAUGAUCAGUUUGAUGUAUUCAGAUUUGUGUGUGAAAUAUCAGGGUCAGAGUCAGUAACUGCUGAUUUUAGCUGUAAUCUCUACACUGGAGAAAAUCCUCAGCCUUAUGUAAAGACAGGAUCUCAGAAGGCAGUUUGUAGAUUUACAGCAAAGAAAAAUGAUCUGUUUAAUCGUCUGCAGUCAGUAAAGAGUCGUG
Molecule: long non-coding RNA, 1219 nt
Organism: Ictalurus punctatus (channel catfish)
Lineage: Eukaryota; Metazoa; Chordata; Actinopteri; Siluriformes; Ictaluridae
Source: Ensembl